AACGAUUUUCGAUUUUUGCCUUUGUCAACAAGUUAAGUUUAGUUAACAUUAGAUUUAUUUUUCUAAACCAAUGCAAAGUAAAAUAAAAAAUAGAGGAAUUUAUUUUCAUGAACCAUUCAUUAUAUACCUUUAAGUACUAAAAACUGUUGCUAUGAAAGUUCAUGAAAUCUGGGAUAAAAGCUUUUAUUUUAUGGUUAGUACUAAUUGAGUAGUUACGGGAUUAAACGUAGAUGGCCAAUAAAAAUAAACUGUGGUAGAAUCUUAUUUACUUCGCUGAAAUAAUAUUAGUGCAUUUAGAUGGUUUUUAGAUUUUGGGUUGAAUAAUCCCCGGGUCAGUAAACUCGAUCAUUUGAAUUCCAAGUCGGCAGGACUGAAGUCAGUCUCGGUGAUACAGUUCUACUUUUUUAUUCUAAAGUUUUCGGUGCAUUUAUCACGAGAGGCGAACACUCAGUCCUCGUGCUUUAUUAUCAGAUUGAAAAAGCGUCCAGCGGGCGCUUUUUCUCCACGGGCAAAGCCCGUUGUUUUUCCAUACCACGAUCCUUCGGUGAUCGACGCUCGACGAGGCCCGCCAUUCGCUGGCAGUUAAACGGGGCGAGAAGAAAGUCUGGCCUGCUUGCGUUCGUUCGCGUUCGAUCUGGCAGCGUACCAGUUUGCCGACGCCUCCCCCGCACCUUUAGAUCGGCCGUUGGUGAAAUCGAGCCACCCCUGUCGGCGCUUGUGAACAGCGUAGCGAUGCAUCCCAGGUGGUGAGGACCGGCCCUGCUACACCGUCCCGAGUUUUUUCAUCGCACGCCACACCGGCGUGUCCCUCGGUAGACGAACCGGUCCGCAUAGUAGCGAAAUCAAACCCUGCGCAGGUAUGUUUCAUUCAUGGCCAUGACAACACUACAACACCCACACAUACACACGUUCAUUGAUAGACGGAAAAAAUGAAUAUAUGAAAAUGAAGCUAAAUUGAGUUACCUAGUUACAUUCAUUUAACAAAUGCUAAGCCCUGAGGUUCUGUAGUCCGCCCUGGUGAUUAUAUUCUACGUUACGUUCUAUGUU
Armigeres subalbatus is the source of this 1047-nucleotide long non-coding RNA. RefSeq lists it as uncharacterized. Lineage: Eukaryota; Metazoa; Arthropoda; Insecta; Diptera; Culicidae. The transcript is spliced from 3 exons. The record is from RefSeq and is a predicted model, not a curated record.